GUUAACGAGAGUAACUAUGGUGUCUUGGUGUCGCUGGCUCCUCGGAGCAUCGUGCACGCCCGCCAUUUUUAUCUAUCCACCUGUGCACCGAAUGUAGGUCUGGAUGACUCUCGCCUCCGGGCGGAUGCGAGGUUUGCGUGUGCGCGACGUUCGCGUUGCGUACGGGCUCUCCUCGAAUUUCCAGACUCUAUGUCUCUUUACAAACCCCAAACGUAUGAUGCAGAAUGUAGUCAAUGGGCCUUUAAAAGCCUAUAAAACACUAUACAACUUUCAGCAACGGAUCUCUUGGCUCUCGCAUCGAUGAAGAACGCAGCGAAAUGCGAUAAGUAAUGUGAAUUGCAGAAUUCAGUGAAUCAUCGAAUCUUUGAACGCACCUUGCGCUCCUUGGUAUUCCGAGGAGCAUGCCUGUUUGAGUGUCAUUAAAUUCUCAACCUCACCAGUUUUCUGAACUGUUCUAGAGGCUUGGAUGUGGGGGUUUGUGCAGGCUGCCUCAGCGCGGUCUGCUCCCCUGAAAUGUAUUAGCGAGAUUCAUAUCUGAACCUCCGUCUAUCGGUGUGAUAAUUAUCUACGUCGUUGACUUGGUCUCGGACUCGCUUCUAACCGUCCGCGAGGACAACAUACUUGACAAUUUGACCUCAAAUCAGGUAGGACUACCCGCUGAACUUAAGCAUAUCAUAAGGCGGAAGGA
This 688-nucleotide ribosomal RNA is filed under the name Coprinellus disseminatus. RNAcentral's name for it is "eukaryotic LSU rRNA". The stretch from base 266 to 419 matches the Rfam family "5.8S ribosomal RNA". The record is from RNAcentral. Lineage: Eukaryota; Fungi; Basidiomycota; Agaricomycetes; Agaricales; Psathyrellaceae.